AACAGUCAUGCCGCGUGAAGGAUGAAGGCCCUCUGGGUCGUAAACUUCUUUUAUUAGGGAAGAAACCUCAAGAUGCGUCUUGAGCUGACGGUACUUAAUGAAUAAGGAUCGGCUAACUUCGUGCCAGCAGCCGCGGUAAGACGAAGGAUCCAAGCGUUGUCCGGAUUUACUGGGUUUAAAGGGUGCGUAGGCGGAAAAUUAAGUCAGUGGUGAAAGCCCGCAGCUCAACUGUGGAACUGCCAUUGAAACUGGUUUUCUUGAAUAUAGCUGAGGCAGAUGGAAUAUAACAUGUAGCGGUGAAAUGCUUAGAUAUGUUAUAGAACACCGAUUGCGAAGGCAGUCUGCUAAACUAUUAUUGACGCUGAGGCACGAAAGCGUGGGGAGCGAACAGGAUUAGAUACCCUGGUAGUCCACGCCCUAAACGUUGAUUACUCGCUGUUGGCGAUAUACUGUCAGUGGCUAAGCGAAAGCAUUAAGUAAUCCACCUGGGAAGUACGACCGCAAGGUUGAAACUCAAAGGAAUUGACGGGGGCCCGCACAAGCGGAGGAGCAUGUGGUUUAAUUCGAUGAUACGCGAGAAACCUUACCUGGGCUUAAAUGUCAGGUGAAC
RNAcentral lists this ribosomal RNA (610 nucleotides) under uncultured bacterium. RNAcentral's name for it is "bacterial SSU rRNA". It matches the Rfam family "Bacterial small subunit ribosomal RNA", at positions 387 to 997 of the family's 1533-position model. The record is from RNAcentral.